AAAUGGCCGCGGUAUCUCGACCGUGCUAAGGUAGCAUAAUAAGUUUCUUUUUAAUUGGGAGAUAGAAUGAAUGAGUGAACAAAGAGAUUUUGUACCGUUUUUAUAAAAGUAAUUUUAUAUAGAGGUAAAAAAGCCUUUAGGUUUUAGAAAGACGAUAAGACCCUAUAAAACUUUACUAGUAUUGGUUAUUAGGUGUUUUAAAUUUUAAAAGCAUAUUAUUAGUUUAGCUGGGGCGGUUUGUUUUUAUGGACGAAAUGUUUUAUCACAUAUUUAAUGGAUUUAAGGAGCGCAUUUAUGCAAUUAAGAUUAAGUUACUUUAGGGAUAACAGGAUAAUAUUUUUGGAGAGUUCUUAUCGAUAAAAAUGUUUAUUACCUCGAUGUUGAAUUGAA
Molecule: ribosomal RNA, 390 nt
Filed under: Typhlocirolana moraguesi
Lineage: Eukaryota; Metazoa; Arthropoda; Malacostraca; Isopoda; Cirolanidae
Description: partial 16S ribosomal RNA
Rfam family: Bacterial large subunit ribosomal RNA
Source: RNAcentral